This 597-nucleotide ribosomal RNA is filed under the name uncultured bacterium. Its description in RNAcentral is "bacterial SSU rRNA". It matches the Rfam family "Bacterial small subunit ribosomal RNA", at positions 55 to 648 of the family's 1533-position model. The record is from RNAcentral.
AUGCAAGUCGAACGGGAUUCAGUGUAGCAAUACAUUGAUGAGAGUGGCGCACGGGUGCGUAACGCGUAUGCAACCUACCUUUAACAGGGGAAUAGCCCCGAGAAAUCGGGAUUAAUGUCCCAUAACAUUAAGCUGUGGCAUCACAGUUUAAUCAAAGCUGAGGCGGUUAAAGAUGGGCAUGCGUGACAUUAGCUAGUUGGUGAGGUAACGGCUCACCAAGGCAACGAUGUCUAGGGGUCCUGAGAGGGUUAUCCCCCACACUGGUACUGAGACACGGACCAGACUCCUACGGGAGGCAGCAGUAAGGAAUAUUGGUCAAUGGGCGCAAGCCUGAACCAGCCAUGCCGCGUGCAGGAAGACGGCCCUAUGGUUGUAAACUGCUUUUGUCAGGGAAUAAACCUCCGUUCGUGAACGGAGCUGAAGGUACCUGAAGAAUAAGCAUCGGCUAACUCCGUGCCAGCAGCCGCGGUAAUACGGAGGAUGCAAGCGUUAUCCGGAUUCAUUGGGUUUAAAGGGUGCGCAGGCGGAUUGGUAAGUCAGGGGUGAAAUCCCACAGCUCAACUGUGGACCUGCCUUUGAUACUGCUAGUCUUGAGUA